GUCCUUUGUGGCUAAGCUUCUCUGCAGUACCAGAGAUUCAACCUGACCUGCAGGUUGAAUUCCAGCAAAUAAUUCGGAGUUCCUGUAAAGCAGACCCUUCCUUUCUGUAGGAAAGAGAGAACUGGAAGUGAAGGCUGCCAAGAAUUCAUUUUUGGAGAGAGUGGAAAAUUUAUGGAGUUUGAUUAGAUGAUUAAGAACCAAACUA
Alligator sinensis (Chinese alligator) is the source of this 205-nucleotide long non-coding RNA. RefSeq lists it as uncharacterized. The record is from RefSeq and is a predicted model, not a curated record. Lineage: Eukaryota; Metazoa; Chordata; Crocodylia; Alligatoridae. The transcript has 3 exons.